This 466-nucleotide ribosomal RNA is filed under the name uncultured bacterium. RNAcentral's name for it is "partial 16S ribosomal RNA". It matches the Rfam family "Bacterial small subunit ribosomal RNA", at positions 28 to 505 of the family's 1533-position model. The record is from RNAcentral.
GACGAACGCUGGCGGCGUGCUUAACACAUGCAAGUCGAACGGAAAGGCCCUGCUUUUGUGGGGUGCUCGAGUGGCGAACGGGUGAGUAACACGUGAGUAACCUGCCCUUGACUUUGGGAUAACUUCAGGAAACUGGGGCUAAUACCGGAUAGGAGCUCCUGCUGCAUGGUGGGGGUUGGAAAGUUUCGGCGGUUGGGGAUGGACUCGCGGCUUAUCAGCUUGUUGGUGGGGUAGUGGCUUACCAAGGCUUUGACGGGUAGCCGGCCUGAGAGGGUGACCGGCCACAUUGGGACUGAGAUACGGCCCAGACUCCUACGGGAGGCAGCAGUGGGGAAUAUUGCACAAUGGGCGGAAGCCUGAUGCAGCAACGCCGCGUGCGGGAUGACGGCCUUCGGGUUGUAAACCGCUUUCGCCUGUGACGAGGCGUGAGUGACGGUAAUGGGUAAAGAAGCACCGGCUAACUACG